Marmota monax (woodchuck) is the source of this 1316-nucleotide long non-coding RNA. RefSeq lists it as uncharacterized. The transcript has 7 exons. The record is from RefSeq and is a predicted model, not a curated record. NCBI's taxonomy places the organism in Eukaryota, Metazoa, Chordata, Mammalia, Rodentia, Sciuridae.
UUAAAAUAGUAUCAGUCAGAAGAACUUUCUGCUUCCCUUUUCUCUCCUGCCUCUAGUGCUCCAACAAAGAGGGGUCAGCAACAGCAGCUGAGAAUGUGAGAGGAGUGAACAAACAUGAAAGAAGCAGCUCACCACAUUGUGUUUUGCCAAGUCCGGUGGCCUGCCCACAGUUACGACCUAACUGCGGAAAGUAUGUUGUAUAUGAGAAAUCAUCAAGCAAACCAAUCUGAAGAAAAAUUAAUAAAAAUCAAGGUUAUUCUUUGACAAGAUUUCUGCAUGGGAAAUGUUGAGCAUUUUCAUCGGGAAGCACAGAGGUGUGUGCUGAUCAGCGUUCCACAACCAGCUCUAUAUAAAGGAAAAAGUCCUGAUUUGGAGUAUUUGCAAAUUUCUGUGGUAUAAACAUUCCCACCAUGGUUGCUUUCAAGCUCCUACCAUGAUGCCCCUGAAGGGAACAAAACCUGACAAGGAAAGCUUGACACCAAGUUGGCUCACACUAGGGAGCAGAAAGACUUUAGUUUUGGAUCCUUGGGCACAUGAUUACAGAAAGACCAGAGAGUUAAAAUGAGCAUAAUCAGUCCAAAAGUCAGGGAAAUGAAGUGACUUACCCAAACUGCAAUUACUGCUAAGUGGCAGACUGAGUACACCUCCUUUUGGAUUCUUCAGCUUCACUGGAAUAGAACAUAAUUUGGAUAUGUAAAUAAUCUCUAUGAAAAUAUUGUUCAAAAGAUGCAAAAAUUUACCACAGGUUUCAGAGUUUCUGUUUUCAUGUAAAGAAGUAACUAAUGAUUUUAUGUUGAGUGUGAGCGAUACCUUGUUCUCUGUCUUGGUAACUUUAAACAAAUUAUUAGAUUAUUAGUUACUAUCAAACUCAUUUUUGUUUUAUUUACAUUUGUAAUGUGAUUUUAUUGUAAAAACUUUUUGAAAAUAGAGAUAAACCAAAAUAAAGAUUAUCUAACUCCCCAAUUCUUUACCAGAGAAAUAACUGAUAAGGGCUGGGGAUGUGGCUCAAGCGGUAGCGCGCUCGCCUGGCAUGCGUGUGGCCCGGAUUCGAUCCUCAGCAGCACAUACAAACAAAGAUGUUGUGUCCACCGAAAAACUAAAAAAUAAAUAUUAAAAAAAAAUUCUCUCUCUCUUAAAAAUAAAAAAAGAAAGAAAGAAAUCACUGAUAAGCUUUAAUGUAUCUUUCUAGUUUUUUUUUUCUUUGUUGUUGCUGUUGGGUACAGAGAUUGAACCCAGAGCCUCUUAACCACUGAACCACAUCCCCAGCACUUUUUUUUUUUAACCACAUCCCCAGCACUUUUUUUUUUUUUUUAAAU